This 69-nucleotide transfer RNA is filed under the name Sinocyclocheilus anatirostris (duck-billed golden-line fish). RNAcentral describes it as "tRNA-Met". It matches the Rfam family "tRNA". Rfam says of the family: Transfer RNA (tRNA) molecules are approximately 80 nucleotides in length. RNAcentral also lists the same sequence under 2 other names. The record is from RNAcentral. Lineage: Eukaryota; Metazoa; Chordata; Actinopteri; Cypriniformes; Cyprinidae.
GGCGAAGUCAGCCAAUUAGGCUUUCGGGCCCAUACCCCGAACACGAUGGUUAGAAUCCCUCCUCCGCCA